AUUUGGGAGGGGUCUCUUUCUGGAGAUCCUUUCUUUUAGAAUUUUCUGCUGCGAGCCUAGGACAUGAUAAAAGAGUAUUGAGGUGUCUAGAUGAUCACUCGGUCCUGGAAAUUUGACAUAUGAAGACAAUGCCAGGAUGAAGAUUUCUAUUUUGGACAUAAGGAUCUCUCCUCCUGUGGGAUUCUCAAGCAAAGACCACUGCCUGUUGUACCACCUGCUGGAUUGAGCUGCUCUAGGGCAUCAUAUACAAAAGUUUUCUUUUCUGCAGUUCUACUUUAAGUCUGGUGUAGUGUAUAUAUUCCCACAAGGCAGCAAAAUUGUGUGUAAUUAUGGGUAAGCAACAUUUUACUUUAUGCAAAGACGAUUAGCCAGGUUGUUCCAGGAAGCAAUCUUUGUAGCCCAGGUGUGGCACAUGAAUAAAUUUUCCCCAAAUCCCAGGCAUGUGAUGUUUCCUGCAUUCAUGCAAGAUAUCCUGCAUUUCUUUCACUGGAAUGCUGAGUCACAUCUUCAGACAUCACUGUCACCAACCAAUGUAAAAAUGGCCUGAAAAAAUAGCUGAAGAUUACACAACGCAGCUGUUUCCCUAUACCAGAUGUUACAGAUCUGCAAAAUGUCUGAAUUUCCCAAUUUUGAAUCCAAAAUUCAUCCCUGGAAAUGCUUCAGGAGUUGUACGUUUUACAGUGAUAGAGAGAAGCAUGGUGACAAGACUGUUUGAGUCAUUUGUAAGGUCAGCUUUGAGUUCACCCUUGAGUUGUGAUUCUGUUAAAAUAACAAGCAAAGAUUUUGGAGUUGAUCACUCUGUUACAUUUUUGUUUUAGUUGUAAAUAAUGUGGCAUUUUUU
Molecule: long non-coding RNA, 841 nt
Organism: Tympanuchus pallidicinctus (lesser prairie-chicken)
Lineage: Eukaryota; Metazoa; Chordata; Aves; Galliformes; Phasianidae
Exons: 3
Source: RefSeq, a predicted model, not a curated record